GCUGGGUGCGGUGGCACACACCUGUAAUCCCAGCAGCUCCAGAGGCUGAGGCAGGAGGAUUGCAAGUUCAAAGCCAACCUCAGCAACUGUGAGACACUAAGCAACUCAGUGAGACCCUGUCUCUA
Molecule: small RNA, 125 nt
Filed under: Marmota monax (woodchuck)
Lineage: Eukaryota; Metazoa; Chordata; Mammalia; Rodentia; Sciuridae
Source: RNAcentral